CUUAUUUCUCUGCAAAAAGACGGUGGCGGUAAUGAGCAACAAUGACACCAGAGGCUCUCUAAAGACGUUUACUAUUAUUGUUACUCACUUUCACUAGCAUGAAGGUGUAAUUUUGGGGUAAUGAAUCACGUGACUGAGACAAGCGCUUGACAUGUGUCAAGAGACUGUGAUGAUUUUGGUUCCUGUGGUAUGUUUUUGUGUUUGCUCUCUCUCCCUCCCCUCUUUUCUGUUCUGCAGUGCAUGUGUGUGUCAGGGGGUGUGGCUGGCUUCUCCUGCAGCAGCAGAUGAGGCACACCUGUCUUCACUCACCUCAUCUUCCUGUCUACAAAAGCCUGGUCUUCACUCCACUAUGCUGCCAGAUAAUUCCGUCAUGUUCGGUCGUCCUUUGUGCCUCACCGUGUGCCUGAGUUUUUUCAAUCCAUCCUUCGGUGAAUAUUGUACGAGCCAGCCAGCUCCCUGCCUCCACUGCCUGCUCUUUUGUUUUUUCGUGUUAUUAAUAAACCUUUUUCUGUUACUUACCUGCAUCAGUAUCUGCUUUGGGGUCCAAACAAAACCGGAACAGAGACAGGUGUAAUUGGGAGAGUGUCCGGUAAUUUUUCAAAAUAAAACAUCUUUCAGACUGAUAAUAACAUGGCAAUAAUAUUAGUUACUUACGUGCGGCCCGGUGUCCUAAGUGACCACAACUGACAAUAUAAUUUGUGCCCAUUUCCACUAGCACCUCUCCUCCAUGUAGCCUACACUAUUUGUAUAACUUGAUUAAUCCAAGAAAUCCUGAUCAUUGUUGCUAAGACUGAUAAAGCGAAGCUUGCGGAGCUAGGUCAGGUAGACAAUUUGAGCUGCGCCAAGUCCUCAUCAGCUGAUCAGCCACACGCUCUCCUCAUCAUCCGAUUGUGCCGGGGUAUUUAAACCCCCCUGCUUACCUGAUCAUUGCGAGGAAGAUGAUCAUUCCUGGCUACUCUGCUGCUGUUGUGUGCUGCCUAUGAAGAUUUUCAAUCCCACCACCUCCCCAGCAUCCACCUGGGGCUCUGUUUCUAUGAUCACCAGCAGGGGCCACAAAACUUGCUUCAGUCAUGAUAAAAUUAUUGCUGUAUACAAAAUAAUUAUGCACAAUAAAGAUAUUGAUUUCAA
This is a non-coding RNA of Epinephelus lanceolatus (giant grouper), 1128 nucleotides long. Lineage: Eukaryota; Metazoa; Chordata; Actinopteri; Perciformes; Serranidae. The record is from RefSeq and is a predicted model, not a curated record.